GGCCUCAUUCUAUAUGAAAAUGGGCACUGUUUUUUGUGUACGGUGUCCAGAAAUUUGUUAUUGUGGCUACAUUGAGACACAGGUUAUGCUUCCAUCACAGUAAUCUUAUUACAGUGGUGACAAUGAGACCUGUAACAUUU
Molecule: small nucleolar RNA, 140 nt
Filed under: Myotis davidii
Lineage: Eukaryota; Metazoa; Chordata; Mammalia; Chiroptera; Vespertilionidae
Description: Small nucleolar RNA SNORA1
Rfam family: Small nucleolar RNA SNORA1
About the family: ACA1 is a member of the H/ACA class of snoRNA that guide the sites of modification of uridines to pseudouridines.
Source: Rfam by way of RNAcentral